UGGGGAAUAUUGGGCAAUGGACGCAAGUCUGACCCAGCAACGCCGCGUGAAGGAAGAAGGCUUUCGGGUUGUAAACUUCUUUUGUCAGGGAACAGUAGAAGAGGGUACCUGACGAAUAAGCCACGGCUAACUACGUGCCAGCAGCCGCGGUAAUACGUAGGUGGCAAGCGUUGUCCGGAUUUACUGGGUGUAAAGGGCGUGCAGCCGGGCUGGCAAGUCAGGCGUGAAAUCCCAGGGCUCAACCCUGGAACUGCGUUUGAAACUGCUGGUCUUGAGUACCGGAGAGGUCAUCGGAAUUCCUUGUGUAGCGGUGAAAUGCGUAGAUAUAAGGAAGAACACCAGUGGCGAAGGCGGAUGACUGGACGGCAACUGACGGUGAGGCGCGAAAGCGUGGGGAGCAAACAGGAUUAGAUACCC
RNAcentral lists this ribosomal RNA (417 nucleotides) under uncultured bacterium. Its description in RNAcentral is "bacterial SSU rRNA". It matches the Rfam family "Bacterial small subunit ribosomal RNA", at positions 355 to 787 of the family's 1533-position model. The record is from RNAcentral.